GACGAACGCUGGCGGCGUGCCUAAUACAUGCCAGUUGAGCGCUGAAGGUUGGUACUUGUACCAACUGGAUGAGCAGCGAACGGGUGAGUAACGCGUGGGGAAUCUGCCUUUGAGCGGGGGACAACAUUUGGAAACGAAUGCUAAUACCGCAUAAAAACUUUAAACACAAGUUUUAAGUUUGAAAGAUGCAAUUGCAUCACUCAAAGAUGAUCCCGCGUUGUAUUAGCUAGUUGGUGAGGUAAAGGCUCACCAAGGCGAUGAUACAUAGCCGACCCGAGAGGGUGAUCGGCCACAUUGAGACUGAGACACGGGCCAAACUGCUACGGGAGGCAGCAGUAGGGAAUCUUCGGAAAUGGACGAAAGUCUGACCGAGCAACGCCGGGUGAGUGAAGAAGGUUUUCGGAUCGUAAAACACUGUUGGUAGAGAAGAACGUUGGAGAGAGUGGAAAGCUCAUCAAGUGACGGUAACUACCCAGAAAAGGACGGCUAACUACGUG
Molecule: ribosomal RNA, 497 nt
Filed under: uncultured bacterium
Lineage: Bacteria
Description: partial 16S ribosomal RNA
Rfam family: Bacterial small subunit ribosomal RNA
Source: RNAcentral